RNAcentral lists this transfer RNA (72 nucleotides) under Tetradesmus obliquus. Its description in RNAcentral is "Scenedesmus obliquus tRNA". It matches the Rfam family "tRNA". From Rfam's summary of the family: Transfer RNA (tRNA) molecules are approximately 80 nucleotides in length. Their secondary structure includes four short double-helical elements and three loops (D, anti-codon, and T loops). Lineage: Eukaryota; Viridiplantae; Chlorophyta; Chlorophyceae; Sphaeropleales; Scenedesmaceae. The record is from Rfam by way of RNAcentral.
GGGUGUAUAGCUCAAUGGUAGAGCACCUGUCUUACAAACAGGUGGUUAAAGGUUCAAGUCCUUUUGUGCCCA